AUACUUACCUAGUAGAGGAGUUACCGUGAUCACGCUGGUGAUUUUCCCAGGGCCAGCCUUGUUUCUUGCACGCCGGAUGUGCUGACCCUUGCUAUUUCCCGAAAUGUGGGAAGCUCGACUGCAUAAUUUGUGUUAGUGAGGGACUGCAUUCGCGCUCUCCCCUC
Trichechus manatus latirostris (Florida manatee) is the source of this 164-nucleotide small nuclear RNA. RefSeq annotates it as U1 spliceosomal RNA. NCBI's taxonomy places the organism in Eukaryota, Metazoa, Chordata, Mammalia, Sirenia, Trichechidae. The transcript has a single exon. The record is from RefSeq and is a predicted model, not a curated record.